AAACUGCGAUAAGUAGUGUGAAUUGCAUUUAGUGAAUCAUCGAAUCUUUGAACGCACCCUGCACUCACUGGUAUUCCGGUGAGUACGCCUGUUUCAGUAUCAUUGAAAACACACAAUCAAAACAUUUUCUUUGGUUUGAUUGGCUUUGGGUCUAUCAAAAAGUUUGGCUUGUUUCUUACAAGCCAAGCGGCCUGAAAUAUAUUGUCUGGCUAAUUGCAUCGUUGAUGAUCGCUAUUAGACUUUGGCUUUUUUAAAUGAACUGGAGGUUGAUUAACCAGUUUUAGCUUUAGUCAAAUGGUCAUUUUAAAAAAAAUCUCGAUCUUGGCUAGGUGUUUAUAGCCGAAAAUUUUUUUUUGGCUAUAACCGAAACCAAUAUAAUCACAUUUAGUUAUCGAUCUGAAAUCAGGUGGGACUACCCGCUGAACUUAAGC
This 431-nucleotide unclassified non-coding RNA is filed under the name plant metagenome. RNAcentral describes it as "partial contains 5.8S ribosomal RNA, internal transcribed spacer 2, and large subunit ribosomal RNA". The stretch from base 1 to 102 matches the Rfam family "5.8S ribosomal RNA", at positions 50 to 154 of the family's 154-position model. The record is from RNAcentral.